RNAcentral lists this transfer RNA (64 nucleotides) under Pochazia shantungensis. RNAcentral's name for it is "tRNA-Trp". The record is from RNAcentral. Lineage: Eukaryota; Metazoa; Arthropoda; Insecta; Hemiptera; Ricaniidae.
AAGGAUUUAAGUUAAAAAAACUAUUAACCUUCAAAGUUAAAAUUAUAAAGAUUUAUAGGCCUUA